AGGGGGAAGCCGGUCGAAGCCCGGCGCUGACCCGCAACCGUAGACCGCCUUCGAGCGGUGAGCCGGAGCACCC
Non-coding RNA from Nocardioides dokdonensis FR1436, 73 nucleotides. The record is from Rfam. NCBI's taxonomy places the organism in Bacteria, Bacillati, Actinomycetota, Actinomycetes, Propionibacteriales, Nocardioidaceae.